UCAAGUGAAUAUCAUUUUUGACUGCCGUUGUGAAUCAGACCUCAGUUGUCAUGGACUGUAGCGACCAGUCAGUGGAGAUUCUGACCAACUGAGGACUGAUUGAUGAUGUCCGUCAAAAGAUGGCAUAACUUAGA
Molecule: microRNA precursor, 134 nt
Filed under: Callithrix jacchus (white-tufted-ear marmoset)
Lineage: Eukaryota; Metazoa; Chordata; Mammalia; Primates; Cebidae
Description: microRNA cja-mir-9952b precursor
Source: miRBase by way of RNAcentral